UACGUAGGGUGCAAGCGUUGUCCGGAAUUAUUGGGCGUAAAGAGCGUGUAGGCGGUUUGGUAGGUCCGUUGUGAAAACUCGAGGCUCAACCUCGAGACGCCGAUGGAAACCAUCAGACUAGAGUCCGGAAGAGGAGAGUGGAAUUCCUGGUGUAGCGGUGAAAUGCGCAGAUAUCAGGAAGAACACCCGUGGCUAAGGCGGCUCUCUAGUACGGUACUGACGCUGAGACGCGAAAGCGUGGGGGAGCGAACAGG
RNAcentral lists this ribosomal RNA (254 nucleotides) under uncultured bacterium. RNAcentral's name for it is "partial 16S ribosomal RNA". It matches the Rfam family "Bacterial small subunit ribosomal RNA", at positions 524 to 776 of the family's 1533-position model. The record is from RNAcentral.